CCUACGGGAGGCAGCAGUGGGGAAUUUUGGACAAUGGGCGAAAGCCUGAUCCAGCAAUGCCGCGUGCAGGAAGAAGGCCUUCGGGUUGUAAACUGCUUUUGUACGGAACGAAACGGUCUGCUUUAAUACAGUGGGCUAAUGACGGUACCGUAAGAAUAAGCACCGGCUAACUACGUGCCAGCAGCCGCGGUAAUACGUAGGGUGCGAGCGUUAAUCGGAAUUACUGGGCGUAAAGCGUGCGCAGGCGGUUAUAUAAGACAGUUGUGAAAUCCCCGGGCUCAACCUGGGAAUUGCAUCUGUGACUGUAUAGCUAGAGUACGGUAGAGGGGGAUGGAAUUCCGCGUGUAGCAGUGAAAUGCGUAGAUAUGCGGAGGAACACCGAUGGCGAAGGCAAUCCCCUGGACCUGUACUGACGCUCAUGCACGAAAGCGUGGGGAGCAAACAGGAUUAGAUACCCUGGUAGUCCACGCCCUAAACGAUGUCAACUGGUUGUUGGGUGCAUUAGUACUCAGUAACGAAGCUAACGCGUGAAGUUGACCGCCUGGGGAGUACGGCCGCAAGGUUGAAACUUAAAUGAAUUGGUAGNGNGNGAGNGCGAGACGACGACGAGGAGGAGG
RNAcentral lists this ribosomal RNA (617 nucleotides) under uncultured bacterium. RNAcentral's name for it is "bacterial SSU rRNA". It matches the Rfam family "Bacterial small subunit ribosomal RNA", at positions 338 to 947 of the family's 1533-position model. The record is from RNAcentral.